AGUGAACGCUGGCGGCAGGCCUAAUACAUGCAAGUCGAACGGCAGCACGGCAGAGCUUGCUCUGUGGGUGGCGAGUGGCGGACGGGUGAGGAAUACAUGGGAAUCUGCCCAGUCGUGGGGAUAACGUAGGGAAACUUACGCUAAUACCGCAUGCGCCCUUCGGGGAAAGCCGGGGACCUUCGGGCCUGGCGCGAUUGGAUGAGCCCAUGUCGGAUUAGCUAGUUGGCGGGGUAAUGGCCCACCAAGGCGACGAUCCGUAGCUGGUCUGAGAGGAUGAUCAGCCACACUGGAACUGAGACACGGUCCAGACUCCUACGGGAGCAGCAGUAGGGAAUAUUGGACAAUGGGCGCAAGCCUGAUCCAGCCAUGCCGCGUGAGUGAAGAAGGCCCCUCGGGUUGUAAAGCUCUUUUGUCCCGGAAAGAAAAGCGCCGGGUUAAUACCCCUGGUGUCCCUGACGGUACCGGAAGAAUAAGCACCGGCUAACUUCGUGCCAGCAGCCGCGGUAAU
This 508-nucleotide ribosomal RNA is filed under the name uncultured bacterium. RNAcentral describes it as "bacterial SSU rRNA". It matches the Rfam family "Bacterial small subunit ribosomal RNA", at positions 29 to 524 of the family's 1533-position model. The record is from RNAcentral.